This 681-nucleotide ribosomal RNA is filed under the name Stenotrophomonas pavanii. RNAcentral's name for it is "bacterial SSU rRNA". It matches the Rfam family "Bacterial small subunit ribosomal RNA", at positions 56 to 727 of the family's 1533-position model. Lineage: Bacteria; Pseudomonadati; Pseudomonadota; Gammaproteobacteria; Lysobacterales; Lysobacteraceae. The record is from RNAcentral.
UGCAGUCGAACGGCAGCACAGGAGAGCUUGCUCUCUGGGUGGCGAGUGGCGGACGGGUGAGGAAUACAUCGGAAUCUACUCUGUCGUGGGGGAUAACGUAGGGAAACUUACGCUAAUACCGCAUACGACCUACGGGUGAAAGCAGGGGACCUUCGGGCCUUGCGCGAUUGAAUGAGCCGAUGUCGGAUUAGCUAGUUGGCGGGGUAAAGGCCCACCAAGGCGACGAUCCGUAGCUGGUCUGAGAGGAUGAUCAGCCACACUGGAACUGAGACACGGUCCAGACUCCUACGGGAGGCAGCAGUGGGGAAUAUUGGACAAUGGGCGCAAGCCUGAUCCAGCCAUACCGCGUGGGUGAAGAAGGCCUUCGGGUUGUAAAGCCCUUUUGUUGGGAAAGAAAUCCAGCUGGCUAAUACCCGGUUGGGAUGACGGUACCCAAAGAAUAAGCACCGGCUAACUUCGUGCCAGCAGCCGCGGUAAUACGAAGGGUGCAAGCGUUACUCGGAAUUACUGGGCGUAAAGCGUGCGUAGGUGGUCGUUUAAGUCCGUUGUGAAAGCCCUGGGCUCAACCUGGGAACUGCAGUGGAUACUGGGCGACUAGAAUGUGGUAGAGGGUAGCGGAAUUCCUGGUGUAGCAGUGAAAUGCGUAGAGAUCAGGAGGAACAUCCAUGGCGAAGGCAGCUA